This 253-nucleotide ribosomal RNA is filed under the name uncultured bacterium. Its description in RNAcentral is "partial 16S ribosomal RNA". It matches the Rfam family "Bacterial small subunit ribosomal RNA", at positions 524 to 776 of the family's 1533-position model. The record is from RNAcentral.
UACGAAGGGGGCUAGCGUUGUUCGGAAUUACUGGGCGUAAAGCGCGUGUAGGCGGGUCUUUAAGUCAGGGGUGAAAUGCCAAGGCUCAACCUUGGAACUGCCUUUGAUACUGGAGAUCUUGAGUCCGGGAGAGGUGAGUGGAAUUGCGAGUGUAGAGGUGAAAUUCGUAGAUAUUCGCAAGAACACCAGUGGCGAAGGCGGCUCACUGGCCCGGAACUGACGCUGAUGCACGAAAGCUAGGGGAGCAAACAGG